ACGCCUGUGUGCUAGCUGCUUGAUGUCUGUGUUUCAGUCCCCCACAUAGACCUUUACAACAUGCUUUCACGAAAUCUUUUAAUUGCGUCAGUGGUUGUCUUUCUGGUAGUAACAGCUUUCACAGCCCCAGUGGACGAGAUAGAGCACGAGGACACGGAGGUGGAGACAGAGGAGGGAGAAGAGGAGCUCUCCGAGGAGGAGGAGGAUGAUGAUGACUCCAAGAGUCAGGAUAAGCAUAUGGGAGCUGCAUCACAGACGAGCACAGCAUCAAAGGGCCUGGG
Molecule: long non-coding RNA, 281 nt
Organism: Osmerus eperlanus (European smelt)
Lineage: Eukaryota; Metazoa; Chordata; Actinopteri; Osmeriformes; Osmeridae
Exons: 5
Source: RefSeq, a predicted model, not a curated record